Molecule: transfer RNA, 17 nt
Filed under: Solanum aculeastrum
Lineage: Eukaryota; Viridiplantae; Streptophyta; Magnoliopsida; Solanales; Solanaceae
Also listed under: 19 other names
Description: partial tRNA-Ser
Source: RNAcentral
CACUCAGCCAUCUCUCC